RNAcentral lists this unclassified non-coding RNA (332 nucleotides) under soil metagenome. Its description in RNAcentral is "partial contains 5.8S ribosomal RNA, internal transcribed spacer 2, and large subunit ribosomal RNA". The stretch from base 1 to 120 matches the Rfam family "5.8S ribosomal RNA", at positions 35 to 154 of the family's 154-position model. The record is from RNAcentral.
GAUGAAGAACGUAGCGAAAUGCGAUAAGUAAUGCGAAUUGCAGAUUUCAGUGAGUCAUCGAAUCUUUGAACGCACAUUGCGCCCGCCAGUAUUCUGGCGGGCAUGCCUGUCCGAGCGUCAUUUCAACCAUCAAGCCCCGGGCUUGUGUUGGGGACCUGCGUCCGACGCAGGCCCUGAAAACCAGUGGCGGGCUCGCUGUCCACACCGAGCGUAGUAACUAACCUCGCUAUGGAGUGGCGCGGGCGCCUGCCGUAAAACCCCCAAUUUCACAAGGUUGACCUCGGAUCAGGUAGGAAUACCCGCUGAACUUAAGCAUAUCAAUAAGCGGAGGA